GGCUCUCUGGCGUAUUGGUACCGCUUCAUUGGCCAUUUUUCUGUCUCUCGCAUCGCUCGAUGCUGGGGCCGGUUCAAUCCCGGCGGGAGCCA
Mycena vitilis is the source of this 92-nucleotide non-coding RNA. The record is from the annotation of a GenBank genome assembly. Lineage: Eukaryota; Fungi; Basidiomycota; Agaricomycetes; Agaricales; Mycenaceae.